Long non-coding RNA from Bacillus rossius redtenbacheri, 4365 nucleotides. RefSeq lists it as uncharacterized. The record is from RefSeq and is a predicted model, not a curated record. Lineage: Eukaryota; Metazoa; Arthropoda; Insecta; Phasmatodea; Bacillidae. The transcript is spliced from 3 exons.
AUUAAAUAAACAGUUUUUGGACUACAUCAAUUUUUCUCGUUACUUAUUGAAUGAUGCCUCAUAGAAAAUUUUCUAGUAAUUAGUGGUUCAGGAAAUUUACAUAAAUAUUGAAAGUUCAGCUUUUUCAAAAAGAGUUUUUUUUUACCAUUAAUUUUUUAUUAUGUAUUUAGUGAUGGGUAGUGGAAAGUUUCCAGUCGGAAAUUUCCUGCCGAAAACUUUCAAAAAUGGAAAAUUUACAGACCUCAUGGAAACUUUGAAAAAAAGUGGAAACAUUGGGAAACAUUGAAUUUUUUUUAGCUGUAACAGUUGAGUGCUGUUGAGUAUAUAUGCAAAAUUUCAACCGAAAUGGAACACAUUGAAUAAGGUAUAGUUUUAACAGAGUUAGCUCAGUACCAAAGUAGAGAAGGUAUGUGGGCCAAAGAAUUUCUUUGGAUGGCGCUUGAAAAAGGUAAAAUUGAACCCUGUACUUGGUGGAAAGGUCUGUGUGGUCAUACACAGCUGUCAAAAGUAGCAAACAGAAUCUUAGGUAUGCCAGUAACCUCUGCUGCUACAGAGAGGUCUUUCAGUACACAUGGUAGUAUACAUACAAAACUAAGAAACCGCUUGACCACUGAAAGAGCAGGUAAAAUAUCAUUCAUUGCCCACAACUGGAAAUUGUGUCACCACAUCCUGGAGGACAUUGAAAAAUUGGAAAGGAAAGAUUCUAUUACUGUCAUUGUGGAAGACAAAUGUGAGAAAGUAUAGCAGAAUAAAAAACUACCACAGUGUGUUUUAAAAGAAGACAGUGCAUCUUGUUCUAACAAUGAAACAGAAGAGGAAGAAAACAGUGAUUUCAGUUAUGAGGACAAUGAUGAUUUCAUUGGUUUCUAAGACCCAAUAUGACUUAAAUAAGGACAUGUUUGUUUCCAAUUCAGUUAAAACUGUAACACUGAAAUUAAGGAAGAAAUUGAGAUAUUCGACGAAAUGGCUCACCUUGAUUCAGAAAGCACUUCUACAGUUUUGGAAUCUGAUGCCAGUAAACCCCAGACUGUGACUGUUCAGAAGUUAGUCACGGUAAAAGAAGACUGCGAUGAAAUAUGUGAGAACAUUGAGGUGUGUGAUGGACAGCCAGACAUUUUGUCACCUUUCAAAGAGCAGACACCCGUCUGUAUCGAUUCGCCAUCGAAUGUUGUUGGAGGCGUGAAAGAGGAAGAGUCCCGCAUCGAGUCCCAGGCAAGUUCAGCUGUCUGCGAGCCUACGCGCGGAGCGAGCUGCGAGCCGGCUUUGCACGGCGUUCGUGCCACUGCGCACGUGCUGCGCACUUCACCCGUGCAUUCGCCCUCAUGGCCGAGGAGAGUAGGUGCCACGCCCACCCAGCUCAGCGCUGCCACCCUGUGUGCUGCGAAGCACCGAAUUCCCCUCAAAAGUAGACGCGUUUCGAAAAAAAGAGUGACGUUCAUUGAGGAAAAUUAUUUCUUAAACAAGGCGAAAGCUUUGAGGAGGAGGAGGAGAAUGCUAAAUGGGGCUGUGAUGCAGUCUCUCUUAUCGGCUCUCGUUCGAAUAGCUUCAAAUUACAAAGCACAGAUGAAAGCAAUAAAGAAGUUAAAAGAUAUGAUUGACAAAGUUAUCGUACCAAAAAGGGCGGAGUGAAAAUCGAGAGUGAAGAAAUCAAAACAGUUUUUACGUGUUUUAAGUACAAUAUAUAUUUUAGUGUAAUGGGAUUUGUGCCCCCAUAAAACCUUGAGUUAUACAACUGGGUACAUGUUGAACAUCGCAACUUUUUGUUUGAAACAAUACUAUGUUGAUUCUCAAAGGGAAAAGUGAAAUAUGAUGAGUUGUUUUUUACCUGUGGCUGUUAAAAUUAUUUUGAGUGCUUGUUUACCUCACUCCAUGAGGAUUACCUUAUUACAAGUUGUUUAUCAAGUCCAAAAAUGAGUUAUUGGUGGCGUGGCCAUUGGUACCAACUAGUUAAAAAUGCAAAUUUUUAAAAUUAGAAUACUGUUAGUAAUUUUAAGAAUCUUAAAAAAGAGUACAUUGGUCGGGUAGGUGUAAUUUUUUUUAAUAUAAAUAAUAUCUCUAAUGUAAAUAUAGUGACGUAAAUAUAUGUUGACUUCAAUAGCGUAGCAGAAGCUGUUUUCAGAAAGAUGGAGACUUAAAUGUCAGUAUAUUACAGCUGGGCAACUGUUUUCUAUCUUUGUUUUCCAUUUCAAAUGAAUAUUGAAAUUAUUCUUGACAUGGAAACCAAUUCAGGUUAGGAAAUGUAAUGUACAACGAAGUCCAUAUCUUUUUUAAAACAGUCUCGGCUAUGCUGUACGUAUUCCUUAAUGAUCUCUGGAGAACCACAAGAUCAAAUUGCAGCUAGUAUCAAGAGAACAUUAGGGCAGCAAGAAUGAUCAGGGCAAUCUCUCAUGGAAAACAAACAGUCUCGGGUAUGAAAUUGAAGCACAACACAAAUUUAUGUCACUAUAUUUACAUUACCGGUAAUGUUUACAAUCAGUUUACGCCAACUGUUAGUCUGAAAAUGCCAUACUUCACAUGUGGCUACCAUAACCUAACCUCUACUUAAAAUGGUUAUUACAGGGAAACACUUGUUCAAUGCAGUGAGCUCUUGCAGAAUGAUUAGAAGACACUUGAUAGGAAGUAAUGAGAUGCAGUUUUUAAUGUUUAAAAAAAAAUUGCUGACAGUUGUGAAUUCAAAAUUACCUUUAAAUGAUGUUGAAAGUUACACUAUGGUUUUUUUACUAAAUCAAUUGCAAAUAUGUAUGGUUUAAGAAAAUUAAUUUUUUCGAAAGUUGCAUUGGGUGAUGAAAAAUUUCUGUCAAAGUGUAUUCCUGUUCAAGCAGUCUAUUUAACAUUGUAUUAUAAUAUUAAUAUAUAUAUGUUAUAUAAGGGUUAUUUUGCUAAAUGAAAAUUAAAGAAUAACUUAAAAAUAAAGUGGGUAUGUAAAUAUUAAUAUUACAGAACUAAAAUUUUAUAUAAAUAAUAAUAGACAAAUAUUUAUUUACAAAAAAAUGAAACAUAUGUCUUAAAAUUAAGCAUGGAUUUUUUUUGUUAAAAAUAUCAAUUGUUAUUUUUAAUUAAGUGUUAUAAAAAAAAAGCUUUUGUAUAAAAGUAUAUUUUUUGAGCCUUUUUUUUUCUUUUUAUACCUUUGUUUCAUCAAUACAUGUUUAGGAACUGAUUAUUUAUGGUUCCCAAAAUCUCUUAACAAAACUGAGAUAUUCGGUUUGCUUGUCCAUUCAAAUAUCUCUGGCAUCUGUACGUCGGGGUGUUGUAAUCGCUCGGAUGGAGGUUCAAAGCGGCAUCGAGAUGAGCAUGACAGCGUCUUGGACCAAAUGAAACAGCGUGGCCUAAGAGCUGAUGCUGUUGCCGAACUGACGCCCGGUCAUUAGUUCCCAAGGAGCGUCAAGCAAGCGUCCAGCAAGAACAGCACGCUGUUGAUGAGGGAAAUGGAGCCCUUGGUGAGGCCUAAAUACUUGACGUUGCUGGCUCCGGUCACAACGUUCGUGAGGAUUAUAGCCCCACUGGUGGCGAACAGCGCAAACCCAACAAGGCUGUAGAAAAUGUCCUGCACAUAAAACUCCAGCAGUCACUUCUACGCUACUAAAAAUGUUAGUCUUCAUAAAUAAAUUAUUUAAUUUAAUUAGUCAUGUUAGUUUUUUUUCCUUGUAUUACUUUUAUGCGAGGUAGGCCUGUGCAUAUUCUAGUUUUUUUUUUUUUUUUUUGCAAAGCUAAUAUAUCAAAUGUUUGAGUCAAACCGCAUUGCGUAUAUUUUUUCGGUGAAGCUGUAUUACACAUAUUUUAUAAAAUGCAGAAUUGAAGUAAGAAAAUUGUUUAAAGUUUGUAAUGUUUGAACUGAUUAAAUCACUAACCUGUAGGGCCCUAAUUAUAACAUCAUCCAGUAAAAAUUUUAAUAUAAUAAUGCAUAAUAUUAAUAUUGAUCAUUCAUGAAAGUAAAUGGAGUGCUACCUUUUGAUUUUUUUUUUUUUAAGUAACCAACUUUAUUGAAGCAAAACAUAUUCUACACAAAAAAUAACCUAAAUAUUUUCAUGAGUGAAUCUUAGGUUUCCAAAGUUUACAGCUUUGCACCACGACGACUGCUAUGUCUCCCGUUUGCAAACAAUCUUGGUUUGAAUCCACCGCAAAUUAUAUAACCUUAGUAGGAGGCAAGCAAUCUGCCCCUUGAACCUCCGUGGCAAUGAAUAAUGUUAUACUUAGAUUGGGUAUUAGAUAACUAGCUAAUCCCUGAUAUGCGUUUGUAUGUCUCAUUCAUUUUUUUUUGUAAUUUGAUUGAAGUAGGUACACAUAGACAAAGCAUCUCUCUAUAUAUGUCCCUCUAGUAAAUCUCACUAUAUAUAUACAUAUACACACACACACACACACACAUAU